AUGCAUGUCUAAGCAUGAGCCGAAUUAUGGUGAAGCCGCGAAUGGCUCAUUACAACAGCCGUUGUUUCUUGGAUCUUGAUUUACUUGGAUAACUGUGGUAAUUCUAGAGCUAAUACAUGCAACCAAGCUCCGACCUUGCGGAAGGAGCGCAUUUAUUAGACCAAGACCAAUCGGGCUCUGCCUGACUUUUGGUGACUCUGAAUAACUUUGCUGAUCACACGGUCUAGCACCGGUGACAUAUCUUUCAAGUGUCUGCCCUAUCAACUUUCGAUGGUAGUUUAUGUGCCUACCAUGGUUGUAACGGGUAACGGAGAAUAAGGGUUCGACUCCGGAGAGGGAGCCUGAGAAAUGGCUACCACAUCCAAGGAAGGCAGCAGGCGCGCAAAUUACCCAAUCUCAGUUUGAGGAGGUAGUGACGAAAAAUAACGAGACGGUUCUCUAUGAGGCCCGUCAUCGGAAUGAGUACAAUUUAAACCCUUUAAUGAGGAUCUAUUGGAGGGCAAGUCUGGUGCCAGCAGCCGCGGUAAUUCCAGCUCCAAUAGCAUAUGCCAAUUCUGUUGCUGUUAAAAAGCUCGUAGUUGGAUCUUUUCCGAGGAGCCAGUCUGCCUCAAGGGUACGUACUGGUUUCCGAGGAUUUUUCUGUCGGUUUUCCCGCGGUGCUCUUCACCGGGUGUCGCGGGUGGCUGGCGCUAUUACUUUGAAAAAAUUAGAGUGCUCAAAACAGGCGUUACUGCCCGAAUAGUGGUGCAUGGAAUAAUGGAAUAGGAUCUCGGUUCUAUUUUGUUGGUUUUAGGAGUGUGAGAUAAUGAUUAAGAGGGACAGACGGGGGCAUUCGUAUUGCGGCGUUAGAGGUGAAAUUCUUGGAUCGCCGCAAGACGAACAACUGCGAA
Molecule: ribosomal RNA, 890 nt
Filed under: Metachromadoroides remanei
Lineage: Eukaryota; Metazoa; Nematoda; Chromadorea; Desmodorida; Desmodoridae
Description: SSU rRNA
Rfam family: Eukaryotic small subunit ribosomal RNA
Source: RNAcentral